This 1341-nucleotide ribosomal RNA is filed under the name uncultured bacterium. RNAcentral describes it as "partial 16S ribosomal RNA". It matches the Rfam family "Bacterial small subunit ribosomal RNA", at positions 28 to 1381 of the family's 1533-position model. The record is from RNAcentral.
GACGAAUUCUGGCGGCGUGCUUAACACAUGCAAGUCGAACGGUAAGGCUCCAGCUUGCUGGGGUACACGAGUGGCGAACGGGUGAGUAACACGUGGGUGACCUGCCCUGCACUUCGGGAUAAGCCUGGGAAACUGGGUCUAAUACCGGAUAGGACCGCACCGUGAGGGUGUGGUGGAAAGUUUUUUCGGUGUGGGAUGGGCCCGCGGCCUAUCAGCUUGUUGGUGGGGUAAUGGCCUACCAAGGCGGCGACGGGUAGCCGGCCUGAGAGGGUGGACGGCCACAUUGGGACUGAGACACGGCCCAGACUCCUACGGGAGGCAGCAGUGGGGAAUAUUGCACAAUGGGCGGAAGCCUGAUGCAGCGACGCCGCGUGGGGGAUGACGGCCUUCGGGUUGUAAACUCCUUUCACCAUCGACGAAGGGUUUCUGACGGUAGAUGGAGAAGAAGCACCGGCUAACUACGUGCCAGCAGCCGCGGUAAUACGUAGGGUGCGAGCGUUGUCCGGAAUUACUGGGCGUAAAGAGCUCGUAGGUGGUUUGUCGCGUCGUCUGUGAAAUUCCGGGGCUUAACUCCGGGCGUGCAGGCGAUACGGGCAUAACUUGAGUACUGUAGGGGAGACUGGAAUUCCUGGUGUAGCGGUGAAAUGCGCAGAUAUCAGGAGGAACACCGGUGGCGAAGGCGGGUCUCUGGGCAGUAACUGACGCUGAGGAGCGAAAGCAUGGGGAGCGAACAGGAUUAGAUACCCUGGUAGUCCAUGCCGUAAACGGUGGGCGCUAGGUGUGGGUUUCCUUCCACGGGAUCCGUGCCGUAGCUAACGCAUUAAGCGCCCCGCCUGGGGAGUACGGCCGCAAGGCUAAAACUCAAAGGAAUUGACGGGGGCCCGCACAAGCGGCGGAGCAUGUGGAUUAAUUCGAUGCAACGCGAAGAACCUUACCUGGGCUUGACAUAUACAGGAUCGCGCCAGAGAUGGUGUUUCCCUUGUGGCUUGUAUACAGGUGGUGCAUGGUUGUCGUCAGCUCGUGUCGUGAGAUGUUGGGUUAAGUCCCGCAACGAGCGCAACCCUUGUCUUAUGUUGCCAGCACGUUGUGGUGGGGACUCGUAAGAAACUGCCGGGGUUAACUCGGAGGAAGGUGGGGAUGACGUCAAAUCAUCAUGCCCCUUAUGUCCAGGGCUUCACACAUGCUACAAUGGUCGGUACAGUGGGUUGCCAGUCCGUGAGGGCGAGCUAAUCCCGCAAAGCCGGUCUCAGUUCGGAUCGGGGUCUGCGACUCGACCCCGUGAAGUCGGAGUCGCUAGUAAUCGCAGAUCAGCAGCGCUGCGGUGAAUACGUUCCCGGGCCU